RNAcentral lists this ribosomal RNA (253 nucleotides) under uncultured bacterium. Its description in RNAcentral is "partial 16S ribosomal RNA". It matches the Rfam family "Bacterial small subunit ribosomal RNA", at positions 524 to 776 of the family's 1533-position model. The record is from RNAcentral.
UACGUAGGGGGCGAGCGUUGUCCGGAUUUAUUGGGCGUAAAGAGCGUGUAGGCGGCCAGGUAGGUCUGCUGUGAAAACUCGAGGCUCAACCUCGAGACGUCGGCGGAAACCAUCUGGCUAGAGUCCGGAAGAGGAGAGUGGAAUUCCUGGUGUAGCGGUGAAAUGCGCAGAUAUCAGGAAGAACACCCGUGGCGAAGGCGGCUCUCUGGGACGGUACUGACGCUGAGACGCGAAAGCGUGGGGAGCGAACGGG